This 229-nucleotide ribosomal RNA is filed under the name uncultured bacterium. Its description in RNAcentral is "partial 16S ribosomal RNA". It matches the Rfam family "Bacterial small subunit ribosomal RNA", at positions 568 to 796 of the family's 1533-position model. The record is from RNAcentral.
UCCGUAGGCGGGCUAAUAAGUCAGGGGUGAAAUCCCACAGCUUAACUGCGGAACUGCCUUUGAUACUGUUAGUCUUGAGUUAUAUGGAAGUAGAUAGAAUGUGUAGUGUAGCGGUGAAAUGCAUAGAUAUUACACAGAAUACCGAUUGCGAAGGCAGUCUACUACGUAUAUACUGACGCUAAUGGACGAAAGCGUGGGGAGCGAACAGGAUUAGAUACCCUGGUAGUCC